RNAcentral lists this ribosomal RNA (939 nucleotides) under Bacillus haynesii. Its description in RNAcentral is "bacterial SSU rRNA". It matches the Rfam family "Bacterial small subunit ribosomal RNA", at positions 64 to 955 of the family's 1533-position model. Lineage: Bacteria; Bacillati; Bacillota; Bacilli; Caryophanales; Bacillaceae. The record is from RNAcentral.
GAGCGGACAGAUGGGGAGCUUGCUCCCUGAUGUUAGCGGCGGACGGGUGAGUAACACGUGGGUAACCUGCCUGUAAGACUGGGAUAACUCCGGGAAACCGGGGCUAAUACCGGAUGCUUGAUUGAACCGCAUGGUUCAAUUAUAAAAGGUGGCUUUUAGCUACCACUUACAGAUGGACCCGCGGCGCAUUAGCUAGUUGGUGAGGUAACGGCUCACCAAGGCAACCAUGCGUAGCCGACCUGAGAGGGUGAUCGGCCACACUGGGACUGAGACACGGCCCAAACUCCUACGGGAGGCAGCAGUAGGGAAUCUUCCGCAAUGGACGAAAGUCUGACGGAGCAACGCCGCGUGAGUGAUGAAGGUUUUCGGAUCGUAAAACUCUGUUGUUAGGGAAAAACAAGUACCGUUCAAAUAGGGCGGUACCUUGACGGUACCUAACCAAAAAGCCACGGCUAACUACGUGCCAGCAGCCGCGGUAAUACGUAGUGGCAAGCGUUGUCCGGAAUUAUUGGGCGUAAAGCGCGCGCAGGCGGUUUCUUAAUUCUGAUGUGAAAGCCCCCGGCUCAACCGGGGAGGGUCAUUGAAACUGGGGAACUUGAGUGCAAAAAAGGAGAGUGGAAUUCCACGUGUAGCGGUGAAAUGCGUAAAAGAUGUGGAGGAACACCAGUGGCGAAGGCGACUCUCUGGUCUGUAACUGACGCUGAGGCGCGAAAGCGUGGGGGAGCAAAACAGGGAUUAAAAUACCCCUGGGUAGUCCACGCCCGUAAAACGAUGAGUGCUAAGGUGUUAGAAGGGGUUUCCCCCCCUUUUAGUGGCUGCCAGCAAACGCCAUUAAAGCACUCCGCCCUGGGGGAAGUACGGGUCCGCAAAGACUGAAAACUCAAAAGGAAGUGACGGGGGGCCCCGCCACAAGCCGGUGGAACCAUGGUGGGUUUUAAU